GCGGCUCCUGUCCAGACCCUGACCCUCCCUCCCAAGGCUCAACCGUCCCCCAACAACCGCCAGCCUUGUACUGAUGUCGGCUGCGAGAGCCUGUGCUUAAGUAAGAAUCAGGCCUUAUUGGAGACAUUCAAGCAAAGGUUGGACAACUACUUUUCCAGAACAGAAAGGAAACUCAUGCAUCAGAAAAGGUGACUAAUAAAGGUACCAGAAGAAUAUGGCUGCACAAAUACCAGAAUCUGAUCAGAUAAA
This 249-nucleotide unclassified non-coding RNA is filed under the name Hevea brasiliensis (rubber tree). The record is from RNAcentral. Lineage: Eukaryota; Viridiplantae; Streptophyta; Magnoliopsida; Malpighiales; Euphorbiaceae.